UACAGAGGGUGCAAGCGUUAAUCGGAAUUACUGGGCGUAAAGCGUGCGUAGACGGUUAUGUAAGUCAGAUGUGAAAGCCCCGGGCUCAACCUGGGAAUUGCAUUUGAGACUGUGUAGCUAGGGUGCGGAAGAGGGAAGCGGAAUUUCCGGUGUAGCGGUGAAAUGCGCAGAUAUCGGGAAGAACACCCGUGGCGAAGGCGGUUCUCUGGGACGGUACUGACGCUGAGACGCGAAAGCGUGGGGAGCAAACAGG
Molecule: ribosomal RNA, 253 nt
Filed under: uncultured bacterium
Lineage: Bacteria
Description: partial 16S ribosomal RNA
Rfam family: Bacterial small subunit ribosomal RNA
Source: RNAcentral